CCUACGGGAGGCAGCAGUGGGGAAUCUUGCGCAAUGGGCGAAAGCCUGACGCAGCCAUGCCGCGUGAAUGAUGAAGGUCUUAGGAUUGUAAAAUUCUUUCACCGGGGACGAUAAUGACGGUACCCGGAGAAGAAGCCCCGGCUAACUUCGUGCCAGCAGCCGCGGUAAUACGAAGGGGGCUAGCGUUGCUCGGAAUUACUGGGCGUAAAGGGAGCGUAGGCGGACAUUUAAGUCAGGGGUGAAAUCCCAGAGCUCAACUCUGGAACUGCCUUUGAUACUGGGUGUCUUGAGUGUGAUAGAGGUAUGUGGAACUCCGAGUGUAGAGGUGAAAUUCGUAGAUAUUCGGAAGAACACCAGUGGCGAAGGCGACAUACUGGAUCAUUACUGACGCUGAGGCUCGAAAGCGUGGGGAGCAAACAGGAUUAGAUACCCUGGUAGUCCACGCCGUAAACGAUGAUUGCUAGUUGUUGGGAUGUUUACAUCUCGGUGACGCAGCUAACGCAUUAAGCAAUCCGCCUGGGGAGUACGGUCGCAAGAUUAAAACUAGAAGUAGUAGCGNGNGAGAGCGACGACGACGACGAGGAGGAGG
Molecule: ribosomal RNA, 589 nt
Filed under: uncultured bacterium
Lineage: Bacteria
Description: bacterial SSU rRNA
Rfam family: Bacterial small subunit ribosomal RNA
Source: RNAcentral